RNAcentral lists this ribosomal RNA (305 nucleotides) under Biomphalaria glabrata. Its description in RNAcentral is "partial 16S ribosomal RNA". The record is from RNAcentral. Lineage: Eukaryota; Metazoa; Mollusca; Gastropoda; Planorbidae.
UUUAAAUGGCCGCAGUACCUUGACUGUGCUAAGGUAGCAUAAUCAAUUGGCUUCUAAUUAAAGUCUGGAAUGAAAGGAAAAAUGAGGUAGUUCUGUCUUAAGGAAUUUUUUUUGAAUUUAUUUAAAUGAUGAAAAUAUCAUUUUUUAGAAAAAAGACGAGAAGACCCUUAGAGUUUUCAAUUUUUUUUUGUUGGGGCGACAAGUAAACAAUUAAACUUUACUAGUGUAAUAAAUCGAUUUUUUAUAAAAAUAAUUAAACUACCUUAGGGAUAACAGCAUUAUAUAUUUUGUAUGAUUGUGACCUC